This 253-nucleotide ribosomal RNA is filed under the name uncultured bacterium. RNAcentral's name for it is "partial 16S ribosomal RNA". It matches the Rfam family "Bacterial small subunit ribosomal RNA", at positions 524 to 776 of the family's 1533-position model. The record is from RNAcentral.
UACGUAGGGGGCAAGCGUUGUCCGGAUUUAUUGGGCGUAAAGAGCUCGUAGGCGGCUUGUUGCGUCGACCGUGAAAACCCGUGGCUUAACUGCGGGCUUGCGGUCGAUACGGGCGGGCUGGAGUUCGGUAGGGGAGACUGGAAUUCCUGGUGUAGCGGUGAAAUGCGCAGAUAUCAGGAGGAACACCGGUGGCGAAGGCGGGUCUCUGGGCCGAUACUGACACUGAGGAGCGAAAGCGUGGGGAGCGAACAGG